AGAGUUUGAUCCUGGCUCAGGAUGAACGCUGGCGGUAUGCUUUACACAUGCAAGUCGUACGGGAGUUUUUAACUCUAGUGGCGGACGGGUGAGUAACACGUAAGAAUUUGCCUUUAGGAGGGGGACAACAGCUGGAAACGGCUGCUAAUACCCCAUAUGCUUUCGAGUGAAAUGGAUUUCCGCCUAAAGAGAAGCUUGCGGCUGAUUAGCUUGUUGGUGAGGUAAUGGCUCACCAAGGCGACGAUCAGUAUCUGGUUUGAGAGGACGAUCAGACACACUGGAACUGAGACACGGUCCAGACUCCUACGGGAGGCAGCAGUGGGGAAUUUUCCGCAAUGGGCGCAAGCCUGACGGAGCAAUACCGCGUGAGGGAUGAAGGCCUAUGGGUUGUAAACCUCUUUUUUUAGGGAGGAACAAAAUGACGUGUACCUAAAGAAUAAGCAUCGGCUAACUCCGUGCCAGCCGCCGCGGUAAUUC
Molecule: ribosomal RNA, 477 nt
Filed under: uncultured bacterium
Lineage: Bacteria
Description: bacterial SSU rRNA
Rfam family: Bacterial small subunit ribosomal RNA
Source: RNAcentral